CCUACGGGGGGCAGCAGUGGGGAAUAUUGGACAAUGGGGGCAACCCUGAUCCAGCCAUGCCGCGUGUGUGAAGAAGGCCCUCGGGUUGUAAAGCACUUUCAGUGAGGAAGAACGCCUGGUGGUUAAUACCCAUCAGGAAAGACAUCACUCACAGAAGAAGCACCGGCUAACUCCGUGCCAGCAGCCGCGGUAAUACGGAGGGUGCGAGCGUUAAUCGGAAUUACUGGGCGUAAAGCGCGCGUAGGUGGCUUGAUAAGCCGGUUGUGAAAGCCCCGGGCUCAACCUGGGAACGGCAUCCGGAACUGUCAAGCUAGAGUGCAGGAGAGGAAGGUAGAAUUCCCGGUGUAGCGGUGAAAUGCGUAGAGAUCGGGAGGAAUACCAGUGGCGAAGGCGGCCUUCUGGACUGACACUGACACUGAGGUGCGAAAGCGUGGGUACCAAACAGGAUUAGAUACCCCAGUAGUC
This 465-nucleotide ribosomal RNA is filed under the name Vreelandella stevensii. Its description in RNAcentral is "partial 16S ribosomal RNA". It matches the Rfam family "Bacterial small subunit ribosomal RNA", at positions 338 to 795 of the family's 1533-position model. Lineage: Bacteria; Pseudomonadati; Pseudomonadota; Gammaproteobacteria; Oceanospirillales; Halomonadaceae. The record is from RNAcentral.